UACAGAGACUGCAAGCGUUAUUCGGAUUCACUGGGCGUAAAGGGUGCGCAGGCGGCCGUGUGUGUCAGGUGUGAAAGCCCGGAGCUUAACUCCGGAAUUGCGCCUGAAACUACAUGGCUAGAGCAUUGGAGAGGGAAGUGGAAUUCACGGUGUAGCAGUGAAAUGCGUAGAUAUCGUGAGGAACACCAGAGGCGAAGGCGACUUCCUGGACACAUAUUGACGCUGAGGUGCGAAAGCGUGGGGAGCAAACAGG
RNAcentral lists this ribosomal RNA (253 nucleotides) under uncultured bacterium. RNAcentral's name for it is "partial 16S ribosomal RNA". It matches the Rfam family "Bacterial small subunit ribosomal RNA", at positions 524 to 776 of the family's 1533-position model. The record is from RNAcentral.